GAAUAUGGUUUUGGUAAUGAUUUAAAGAAAAAUUCUGGUACGAAUUAUCGGACCUUACACCCAGGUGUUUGCUUCCAAACUCUUUGCUCAAACUCUUUCAGCCACAAACCCUAGAGAACAUGUUCGAUUCUAACAUUUGUCUUUCAUACGCACGUUUUUACUUUGGAACAGAGUGAUAUGUCGCCACUCCUACCUGCGUCCUGCCGGUCACUACCUCCGCUAAACAAGAACACCACAUCCGCUUCCUACUCUUGCUCCGUCAACACGAGUUUCAACAUCACCGAACAACCACCAUCUCGAGCUUCACCUCUAUCAACAGCCCAAAUCCGCUCACUGCUUCAUCUCAUUCCGUCUUCAACCAUUCAAAUCAACUACCUUUUCCGCCUCCUGCCACCCUUACACGCCACUCCUUUCCUUUAUGGGUUAGAUCCAAAAAUACUAACCGAAUCUGCUAGCCAGCAAAAUUAGGGCAAGUACAUAUUAUAGCAUGUGGCACCCAAAUCAAACGGCUAGAUAGCGUUUUAUCCCAAGACCAACCCUAAGUCAUAAUUUUUACCUUUUCAUUUGCCUCCAUCGUUCCUGAAAUGCAUAGGUUCUUCAUCCUUAAUUCUCUAUUCAAGAAGACCAGUUCAUGACCUCAACCUCCGAUUUUGAGAUCUCUUUCCGCCGGUAACCUCUCUAUGAAAUCGGAAAGUGUUGAAGCUUCUACCUGGGUUUUUUUUAUGUACAAACGAAAUGAGUGAAAUACUCACACUUCGCCUCAUCCAUGUCGAGAAGUGUUUUGUACUAAUGUUGCACCAUCGUCUCUUGGUGUUGACGGUAACAUUUUUAAUGCUUUCUCUCACUGUAAUCUUUGCAUUCUACCAGAGUUUUUGAUUCCAAUAUAUGCCUCUUCUUGUGUUUCGGGUUGUUCACUAUCACUCAAGUAUUUAUAAUACUCACUGUGUGUAUGUUUACAAGUGUUUGGUUUUUUUUUAUAGAUUUAUUGGGAUGCUUUCUUUUGACUGAAACACAAACAUAGGAAAGAAAAGGAACUUGGAUACCAAACCUAAAGCUUAACCAUUCAUUUUUCAUUUUAGUUAUCUUUUUUUUUUUUUCUUUUUGUGUACAAAAUGAUGUGAAGACAGACCUGGAGGAGACGGAUAUGUGAUUAUCUGAAGGUAGUGACAGAACUGUGAAAGAAACCGGUGCUCUCUUUAGGCAAAAUGCAUGUUCAUGCUUUUUGUUGGUGCUGAAGCAGGGAAAGGUGGUGUAAUGAGGAUCAAAUUUGGUUGGUUCUUAGCUGCAACUAGAUGACUUUAGUUGCUUAUGUUUGAAAUAAUUAAAUAGUUAAAUAGAUAAUGGUUGGUGAGUUGCUGGAUGAUUUUUGGUAUUAAGUCAAAUGAGAAGAUUUUUGUAAAUGAUAUUUUAUUUUGUAUUACUUCGAUAGUGCUUUAUUGUAAGAUUAAUUAUCUUUAAAUUACUUUAAAUUACUUUUUAGAGGUA
Molecule: non-coding RNA, 1485 nt
Organism: Lactuca sativa (garden lettuce)
Lineage: Eukaryota; Viridiplantae; Streptophyta; Magnoliopsida; Asterales; Asteraceae
Source: RefSeq, a predicted model, not a curated record